This 379-nucleotide unclassified non-coding RNA is filed under the name Hevea brasiliensis (rubber tree). The record is from RNAcentral. Lineage: Eukaryota; Viridiplantae; Streptophyta; Magnoliopsida; Malpighiales; Euphorbiaceae.
GAAUACACGAGUGGGAACACAGUAGCCCUGAAGUUCUCUACUGGUAAGAUCAAUGACCUUGACAUUAAAGUAUUUCUCCUCUUCCAAACAAAAUCCACCAUCGACGAAACCCAAUUAGACCUAAUCGCCAAAGAAUUUUCACUAUCCACCAACUUAUCGCCCGCUAAUCUGCUCAUUCUCUUCGAAUCAAACUCCUGAAACAACCUCCCAACUGAUUCAAAUGCGACUUUGGCAACGUUAUCGGAUUUAUCCAACAUGUUUUGCCCAAUUCGCGCCCACCAGUUCGAGACCUUAUCGAGCAAAUUCACAUUGUUUUCACAAAGAGUCACCAUAUCAUCCCGCGCCAAAAUGCAACCAAGGGUUUCAGUAAUCGAAAAAC